GAUAACCUCGGGAACCUCGAAUGCGCGAUCGUAACCGCCCUUGCCAGCCUCGUCACGGAUGGAGUUGCCGUAUUCCAACACUUCAGCGCCCGCCUCCUGAAACUCGACCAUUGCCUGCACGUGCGCGGCCGUGGAAGCCUGCGCGUCACGGGUGAAGCCCUCCGGGUCGGCCUGGAACCGGGCGAGCCGAUCCUCAACCUGAUAGCCGAUGGGCAGGUACAAGAGCGGGUUGUGGGCUGUAACUCCCACCCAGGAUUUUUGUGAAAUUCUUAAUUAUAAGAAUUUUCUUCUUAGCAAUUUGCUUUUGCAAACAGAUCUGGAUCAGACAGGAGACAAUCAUUAUUUGACCUCCGGCUGCUCUUCUGGCACCUGUUUUUAAUGCUCCUAUGUUACACGUAGCCGGUUUGAUAAGUCACUGGUGAAAUCCUGUAGCUUAACUGUGGGAAUUGCUGGUGAUACUGUUGAACUUGAGGUCGGGAGAGGUUAGCGGUACUCCCAGGGUAGAGGUGAAAUUCUGUAAUCCUGGGAGGACCACCUGUGGCGAAGGCGGCUAACUGGAACGAACCUGACGGUGAGGGACGAAAGCUAGGGGCGCGAACCGGAUUAGAUACCCGGGUAGUCCUAGCCGUAAACGAUGCGGACUUGGUGUUGGGAUGGCUUUGAGCCGCUCCGGUGCCGAAGGGAAGCUGUUUAAGUCCGCCGCCUGGGAAGUACGGUCGCAAGACUGAAACUUAAAGAAUUGGCGGGGGAGCACCACAACGCGUGGAGCCUGCCGGUUUAUUGGAUUCAACGCCGGACAUCUCACCCGGGACCGACAGCUGUAUGAUUACCAAGGCUGAUGACCUUUGUUUUGACUAUCUGAAAAGGAGGUGCAU
Molecule: ribosomal RNA, 875 nt
Filed under: uncultured archaeon
Lineage: Archaea
Description: bacterial SSU rRNA
Rfam family: Archaeal small subunit ribosomal RNA (bases 196-875)
Source: RNAcentral